Non-coding RNA from Fukomys damarensis (Damara mole-rat), 119 nucleotides. The record is from Rfam. NCBI's taxonomy places the organism in Eukaryota, Metazoa, Chordata, Mammalia, Rodentia, Bathyergidae.
GUCUACGGCCAUACCACCCUGAACGUGCCUGAUCUUGUCUGAUCUCAGAAACCAAGUAGGGUUGGGCCUGGUUAGGAUUUGGAUGGGAGAAAAUAAAGUCAGUGAAGGAAAGGUAGAGC